Molecule: ribosomal RNA, 386 nt
Filed under: uncultured bacterium
Lineage: Bacteria
Description: bacterial SSU rRNA
Rfam family: Bacterial small subunit ribosomal RNA
Source: RNAcentral
ACGGGUGAGUAACACGUGACUAACCUACCUUCGAGUGGGGGAUAACCUCGGGAAACCGAGGCUAAUACCGCAUAACAUCGCAAGAUCAAAGCAGCAAUGCGCUGGAAGAGGGGGUCGCGGCUGAUUAGCUAGUUGGCGGGGUAACGGCCCACCAAGGCGAAGAUCGGUAUCCGGCCUGAGAGGGCGCACGGACACACUGGAACUGAAACACGGUCCAGACUCCUACGGGAGGCAGCAGUGGGGAAUUUUGCGCAAUGGGGGAAACCCUGACGCAGCAACGCCGCGUGGAGGAUGAAGCCCCUUGGGGCGUAAACUCCUUUCGACCAAGACGAUAAUGACGGUACUGGUGGAAGAAGCACCGGCUAACUCUGUGCCAGCAGCCGCGG